AGGAAAGACAUCACCUCGCAGAAGAAGCCCCCGGCUAACUCCGUGCCAGCAGCCGCGGUAAUACGGAGGGUGCAAGCGUUAAUCGGAAUUACUGGGCGUAAAGCGCGCGUAGGUGGCUUGAUAAGCCGGUUGUGAAAGCCCCGGGCUCAACCUGGGAACGGCAUCCGGAACUGUCAAGCUAGAGUGCAGGAGAGGAAGGUAGAAUUCCCGGUGUAGCGGUGAAAUGCGUAGAGAUCGGGAGGAAUACCAGUGGCGAAGGCGGCCUUCUGGACUGACACUGACACUGAGGUGCGAAAGCGUGGGUAGCAAACAGGAUUAGAUACCCUGGUAGUCCACGCCGUAAACGAUGUCGACCAGCCGUUGGGUGCCUAGCGCACUUUGUGGCGAAGUUAACGCGAUAAGUCGACCGCCUGGGGAGUACGGCCGCAAGGUUAAAACUCAAAUGAAUUGACGGGGGCCCGCACAAGCGGUGGAGC
RNAcentral lists this ribosomal RNA (476 nucleotides) under uncultured Halomonas sp. Its description in RNAcentral is "bacterial SSU rRNA". It matches the Rfam family "Bacterial small subunit ribosomal RNA", at positions 465 to 938 of the family's 1533-position model. The record is from RNAcentral. Lineage: Bacteria; Pseudomonadati; Pseudomonadota; Gammaproteobacteria; Oceanospirillales; Halomonadaceae.